RNAcentral lists this ribosomal RNA (253 nucleotides) under uncultured bacterium. RNAcentral's name for it is "partial 16S ribosomal RNA". It matches the Rfam family "Bacterial small subunit ribosomal RNA", at positions 524 to 776 of the family's 1533-position model. The record is from RNAcentral.
UACGUAGGGGGCGAGCGUUGUUCGGAAUUACUGGGCGUAAAGGGCGCGCAGGCGGUCCUUCAAGUCAGAUGUGAAAGCCCCGGGCUCAACCUGGGAACAGCAUUUGAGACUGGAGGACUUGAGGACGGGAGAGGAGAGUGGAAUUCCCAGUGUAGAGGUGAAAUUCGUAGAUAUUGGGAAGAACACCAAUGGCGAAGGCAGCUCUCUGGACCGUUACUGACGCUGAGGCGCGAAAGCGUGGGGAGCGAACAGG